UAGUGGGCCUACUUUGGAUCUUGCGGCUCGUCUACCACGAUUAAGAGCAGUCAUACUGCACAGUCCCCUUCUAUCAGGUUUACGAGUCAUGUAUCCUGUCAAGCGCACUUACUGGUUUGACAUUUACAAGAAUAUUGACAAGAUCCCUUCGGUGAAUUGUCCCGUGCUCAUCAUUCAUGGAACUGCAGAUGAAGUAGUUGAUUUUUCACACGGCAAGCAGCUCUGGGAAUUAUGCAAGGAGAAGUAUGAGCCUUUAUGGAUCAAGGGAGGGAACCAUUGCGACUUGGAGCUCUAUCCAGAAUACAUCAGACACCUGAAGAAGUUUGUAGCAACGAUUGAAAGGUCCCAAUCACAACGGAUCACUUGUAGGAAAAGCACAGAUCAGUUUGAGCCACCAAGAAAGAGUACAGAUGUUUUUGAAGCUUCAAGGAAAAGCACUGACCGUAGAGAAAAACCGAGACACAGCACAGACAGGCCUGAGAAGUUAAAGAAUCAUUCCAGUAAUGCUAUUACAGACAAACUAGAAAAACUAAGGAUCUCUUUUGAACAAAUGGAGAGAUCUCGAAGAAGUGUGGACUGCACUGAAAAAUCAAGGAAAAGCAUUGAUCACCAAUUAGAAAGAGCCCGGAAGAGUGUUGAUAGAAUGGACAGAAUACGAACUGGUUGAUAGUUACAAACCAAAUGGUAAAAUCAUUCAAAGUUUGAUGGUGUGGGUAAAGAGUGAAAUGAGCUGGUUACUAUUUAUGAUUUUCAA
RNAcentral lists this unclassified non-coding RNA (754 nucleotides) under Hevea brasiliensis (rubber tree). The record is from RNAcentral. Lineage: Eukaryota; Viridiplantae; Streptophyta; Magnoliopsida; Malpighiales; Euphorbiaceae.